CCUAGGGGAGGCAGCAGUAGGGAAUAUUGGGCAAUGGGCGCAAGCCUGACCCAGCGACGCCGCGUGAGGGAUGAAGGUCUUCGGAUUGUAAACCUCUUUCAGUAGGGAAGAAGCGAAAGUGACGGUACCUAAAGAAGAAGCACCGGCUAACUAUGUGCCAGCAGCCGCGG
RNAcentral lists this ribosomal RNA (170 nucleotides) under uncultured bacterium. RNAcentral's name for it is "partial 16S ribosomal RNA". It matches the Rfam family "Bacterial small subunit ribosomal RNA", at positions 338 to 520 of the family's 1533-position model. The record is from RNAcentral.